This 505-nucleotide ribosomal RNA is filed under the name uncultured bacterium. RNAcentral's name for it is "partial 16S ribosomal RNA". It matches the Rfam family "Bacterial small subunit ribosomal RNA", at positions 28 to 507 of the family's 1533-position model. The record is from RNAcentral.
GACGAACGCUGGCGGCGUGCCUAAUACAUGCAAGUCGAACGCACAGUUUAUACCGUAGCUUGCUACACCAUAGACUGUGAGUUGCGAACGGGUGAGUAACGCGUAGGUAACCUGCCUGGUAGCGGGGGAUAACUAUUGGAAACGAUAGCUAAUACCGCAUAAUAUUGAUUAUUGCAUGAUAAUUAAUUGAAAGGUGCAAUUGCACCACUACCAGAUGGACCUGCGUUGUAUUAGCUAGUAGGUGAGGUAACGGCUCACCUAGGCGACGAUACAUAGCCGACCUGCGAGGGUGAUCGGCCAAACUGGGACUGAGACACGGCCCAGACUCCUACGGGAGGCAGCAGUAGGGAAUCUUCGGCAAUGGACGAAAGUCUGAACGAGCAACGCCGCGUGAGUGAAGAAGGUUGUCGGAUCGUAAAGCUCGGUUGUAAGAGAAGAACGGGUGUGAGAGUGGAAAGUUCACACUGUGACGGUAUCUUACCAGAAAGGGACGGCUAACUACGUG